Non-coding RNA from Pantherophis guttatus, 553 nucleotides. NCBI's taxonomy places the organism in Eukaryota, Metazoa, Chordata, Lepidosauria, Squamata, Colubridae. The record is from RefSeq and is a predicted model, not a curated record.
AAGGGCUAGUUAUGAUUAAAAAAAAAAACCCUGUCUUUUAUAUCAGCAGCAGAUGUGAUGAGAAGUUUAUACCUCAAGAGAACUGAGUCUUCAUGUAAUAUUUUUGACAGAAGGGAUAUUCCAGAAUCUAUAUUUCGAAAUUGGCUGUGAAAUACCACAGAUACUUGGCGGAUUCCUGUCAUUUUUGCCAUUUGUUGGGCCAAGACAUAAAAACACCACUGUGCCUUCAUUCAUGAUCCCAGAAUGCAUUUGAACUGAAGUAAGAGAGGUGAAAGACUUGGUAACAUGGGCAGCUUCUGUUCCCCCAAACAGCUGGAAUUGCAUCCAAAUCUUUUGUUCAAAAUGCAGUUCAUCCACACUCUAUUCUGUAAGCAAGAGAAAUAGGAUUGCAGGCAGGGCUUUUCUUCUUCUUUUCAGAUAAUGGCAAAGUAUCCCUAAUUCAAAACAACUCAACUAAUUGGUCCAAAAAGGAUGUUAACAGCUCCGUCUAGCAGACUGUAUUUAAAACAAUUGUUAGCAAUCAAUAAAUCCUGCCUGAUUGUUUUAUUUCAUU